RNAcentral lists this ribosomal RNA (506 nucleotides) under uncultured bacterium. RNAcentral's name for it is "partial 16S ribosomal RNA". It matches the Rfam family "Bacterial small subunit ribosomal RNA", at positions 29 to 523 of the family's 1533-position model. The record is from RNAcentral.
AUUGAACGCUGGCGGCAGGCCUAACACAUGCAAGUCGGACGGUAGCACAGAGGAGCUUGCUCCUUGGGUGACGAGUGGCGGACGGGUGAGUAAUGUCUGGGGAUCUGCCCGAUAGAGGGGGAUAACCACUGGAAACGGUGGCUAAUACCGCAUAACGUCGCAAGACCAAAGAGGGGGACCUUCGGGCCUCUCACUAUCGGAUGAACCCAGAUGGGAUUAGCUAGUAGGCGGGGUAAUGGCCCACCUAGGCGACGAUCCCUAGCUGGUCUGAGGGGAUGACCAGCCACGCUGGAACUGAGACACGGUCCAGACUCCGACGGGAGGCAGCAGUGGGGAAUAUUGCACAAUGGGCGCAAGCCCGAUGCAGCCAUGCCGCGUGUAUGAAGAAGGCCUUCGGGUUGUAAAGUACUUUCAGCGGGGAGGAAGGCGAUGCGGUUAAUAACCGCAUCGAUUGACGUUACCCGCAGAAGAAGCACCGGCUAACUCCGUGCCAGCCGCCGCGGUAA